This 313-nucleotide small RNA is filed under the name Martelella mediterranea DSM 17316. RNAcentral's name for it is "CspA". Lineage: Bacteria; Pseudomonadati; Pseudomonadota; Alphaproteobacteria; Hyphomicrobiales; Aurantimonadaceae. The record is from RNAcentral.
AACCGUUGCAAUCGGCGGUGCAGGGGCCUAUAUCAACCCCAUCGACCAUUGCUUGUGACGUUGUCCGGGGCUGAUUGCCCUACCGAUUUCCUCUCAAAAUCGAUCUCUUUCGCGAAUACCCGCGAAGGAAACACCAAUGAAGGGAAAUCACUAUGUCAACCGGAACAGUAAAAUGGUUCAAUGCUGCCAAGGGUUUUGGCUUUAUCCAGCCCGAUGACGGCAGCACGGACGUUUUCGUUCAUAUUUCUGCCGUUGAGCGUGCAGGCAUGCAGUCGCUCAAUGACGGUCAGAAAUUGAGCUAUGAAGUCGUUCG